Long non-coding RNA from Dendroctonus ponderosae (mountain pine beetle), 491 nucleotides. RefSeq lists it as uncharacterized. The record is from RefSeq and is a predicted model, not a curated record. Lineage: Eukaryota; Metazoa; Arthropoda; Insecta; Coleoptera; Curculionidae. The transcript is spliced from 2 exons.
UCAAUAAUCAAAUGGAAGUACGUAAAUUGCAAUAAAUGCCGACUAUUUAUCCAGGGGGGUUAAGGCCCGCCUAUAGAGAACCACCUCAAGACACUCAUAAUAACUGUAAUAUCGUGCAAUGGUAGAUAAAUAGUAUUUACAACGGUCCUUCGAUCGGGCACAUGAUAAUCAACGCCAUCGGAUAUAAUUGUUUACAAUGUUGUAUGGGGAUCGCAACCAUCUUAAUGUGAAAUUGGCCGUUUCCUCAGUCAUUGAAUCGUGUUGUUUACCAUCGUCGGCCCGUUUGGUACCACGUGAUUUUAUGGUAUUUGGAACAAAGAUGCACAGGACUGGACUAAAGUUAAAACAGAUUCAAAUGUAUCUAUUUCCCAUAGGAACAAAAUGAGUAAACUACCAAAAAAUGUGGGUUUUUCAAUCAAAAAUGGAACACUUACGAAAGCUGCUACGCGCCCCGAUUUAGAAGGAAAUAAAAGUUUGCCUAAAUCGGACGA